AUAUCGACUGUAAGCAAACAAAGAGAUGUCUGUUUGACAAUGUGUGUUUUCAACGGUGUAAAUGGACUUAAAAUAUGAACGAAAAGAUUAAUGACCACGACUAUGCUGUCCAGUUUUACACAGCAACACCAGUAUUCGACUCAAAACCGGAUGGAAAACAGAUUCAAGACAUUACUGUAUCACUCGAGAAGAAGUUGAAGUCUAACAGGAUCUGCUGUGUGCCCAAAUGUCACACCACUGGCUAAGGAUUGUUAGAAGGCCAUGGAAAGCCCAGCAAUCAUGCAUUUCCAGCUGAAGAUGAUCCAGUUCAAGCUGUUUGGUUGAAUAAAAUACGAAGAGAUGAAGACAGACAUUUUAAGAUAAGUCACAAUACGGUUGUCUGUUUUCUCCAUUUUGAACGUGACUGUCUUGAUGAAUCUGGAUUUGCUAAGCGGAGGUAUCUAAAACCAGGAGCCAUCCCUACAAGAUUCGACUGCUGGAAGGACAAACCACAUCUGUUGAAGCGAAUUCAAGUGGAACGUGCAAUUAACAAGAUUAAAAGUUUUCACAUAUUUGAUCAGGUCAUUCUGGUUUCUCUGUUUGGGAUAAUUAAUCAAAUUUGGACAGUUUGCUCAUUCUUUUCCAAGACCCAAUUAUACCAUGUCCUGGUGUUUAACAUACAUACCAUUUAUAUGAACAUUUGUUGUUCGUGUACAUCAUACUACAUGUAGGCUAAUGAAAAACCAUUGGCUGUUCAUGUAAUAUUUGUACAUUUUUUGGCUUUGUAUAAAGUUUUUGAUAAUUAUCUUGAUAUAAGCAUUGAUUUAGUUACAGAUUAAUGCUUAAAGAGUACUUAAAGCUACACACCUUGAAAUAAAGUACAUGUUCAUAUAGAUGCAAUUUGAAAGUGUGCAAAAUUUUCAUUAAACCUAUAGUCUAGUUAGCAAGUAAUUUAUUAUUUUUCAAACAGGAAUAACUGCUUUUAAAACUGAAAGAAGGAUUUCUAUAUUAAACACGAUUAUUUUUAACUUUUUAAAGCGCAAAAAAAGAUGGCUUUCUACCUUGUUACCACCAGAUAUAUUCUAGUUGGCAUAAUAAAAUUAAAUCUAUAGCCUAGUUUAAUAGCAAGUUAUUUUUUUUUCAAACAGUACUGCUUUUAAAACCGAAAGUAGGAUUUCCAGACGUACACAUCCAUUUCGACAAACGCGAUUAUUUUUAAGUUGUAAAGUGCAAAAAAGAUGGAUUUCUACCUUGUAACCACCAGAUAUAUUCUAAUUGGCAUAGAUAAAAUAUGUCACUCAUACUUAAAUUUACUAUGCCAAAUAAGGUGUGUGGCCUUUACAUAAAAAUUGUAUAUACAUCUUUUUAAUCAUGUUUGUUAAUUUGUUUUGAUUGUAUGACUACUGAAUAAAUAAUUUUGUUAAUAGAAA
This is a long non-coding RNA of Dreissena polymorpha, 1409 nucleotides long. RefSeq lists it as uncharacterized. The record is from RefSeq and is a predicted model, not a curated record. Lineage: Eukaryota; Metazoa; Mollusca; Bivalvia; Myida; Dreissenidae. The transcript is spliced from 4 exons.